UUUUAAUUAACCAUCUCAUUAUUUUGUAUCUUAUUCGGCCUUCUUUUUUAUCUUUCAGUUCCGACGACACCUUCUCUCCUCUCGGCUCUUAUCUCCAUUCAAGCGCAAGGUAUUUCGUGAAGUCAGAACCAGAUAAUCAGAAAUCAUACCACAACACUCUCUUUCUUCAAACUCGGAGCUGUUCUCUCCAUAGCGGUGGCCAGAGGAUAGUCUCACGAUUCAGUGAAGCGUUUACGAGGCGGCGGAAGCAGCAGUGCUAUGUUGCGCCGAGCUGCUGCGUUUUGUGGGCUCAUCUCUCUUUGAUCUGAAAAGUUCUUUUUAAGGUAUUAAGGAAUAUGACAUGAAGCUUCUUGAUUCUUCCUCUGUCUGCAAGAUAGAGCUUUACUAUUUGGGAAUGUGAUGUCACAAUCCACACUGUGAACCUCCAUGUUUCAGCUCACCAUAGAUUUCUUCUGAAUGGGACCAGAGUCAGUUUUGAAUCAACAGGCACAUCACCUUCGGGAAAGUUCUCACCACCAUCCAAUGAUGAUAAAUUACCUACUGACCUACAUAUGAGCCUCAAAAAGAUGGACUUUAUAAAUUAUCAUCAUCAGGUGGUUUUACUGUAAAUUAAAAUCAGUGAUCAUAUCUUAGUGUUUAUUCUCGACAUAUCUUAUUCAGUUCCUUUUACUGAUUUGUCUCUGAAGUAGAGGGUUGAGAAACGGCAGCAGAAACGGUUCUGUUGCAAUGUAUCUUUUGGCCGAGAAAAACUUGAUUUCCGUUUUGUUGCAAUUUACCUUGAUUAUGUGCUUGAUGAGAAUGAUUUUCUCAGCUGGAGUAGUAAUGUGCAGAAUCAUUUAAUA
Molecule: long non-coding RNA, 842 nt
Organism: Brassica oleracea var. oleracea
Lineage: Eukaryota; Viridiplantae; Streptophyta; Magnoliopsida; Brassicales; Brassicaceae
Exons: 2
Source: RefSeq, a predicted model, not a curated record